RNAcentral lists this transfer RNA (74 nucleotides) under Candidatus Electronema aureum. It matches the Rfam family "tRNA". Rfam says of the family: Transfer RNA (tRNA) molecules are approximately 80 nucleotides in length. The record is from Rfam by way of RNAcentral. Lineage: Bacteria; Pseudomonadati; Thermodesulfobacteriota; Desulfobulbia; Desulfobulbales; Desulfobulbaceae.
GCGCCCGUAGCUCAGGUGGAUAGAGCACCAGAUUCCUAAUCUGGGUGCCGCAGGUUCAAAUCCUGCCGGGCGCA